ACGCCGAGGGCGCUUCCCGCCCGGGACGGGGAAGUGACGUCCCGUCCCCCUCAGCCUGCCCCGGAAGUGCGGGCGCUGCCCGGAACCCUCGCGCGACCGUUGUAGCCAUGUAGGUACCGUUACCGGAGGGGGACGGCACCGGAGCGGCCAUGGAGGAGGAGGAGGGCGGCGGCGGCGGCAGCGACAGCGCCGCCGCAGCCCCCCCUCUGCCGAACCUCACCCCCCGGCACCGGCAGCUCAUCCCCACGCCCUGCGGCCCCAUAAAACCUUGCUCAGAGCUAUCAUUUCCUGUGAAGAUCUACUUCUGUGUCACUAUUUUGUCUCUGCUAAGUGUGAUAGGGCUAACCGUAGAGACACUCGUUCGACAAACUGAGGAAGAUUUCACCAUUUCUCUUAUUCAGUUAAUUGGAGUUGUGUUCUGUGUAUACUAUGUGACUAGAGGAAUCCUGCAGGAGAAUCGCCAGGAGCUCAUCGUCUUUGUUCUUUCCAUCUUGCUAGUGAUGUUUCGUUCCAUUGUCAACUUCACAGUGCUCUCUGCUGAGCAAAAGCCAAAACUCCUGGCCCGCUUCAUUCUGAUCCUUUUGGUUGGCUCCUUUGAUGUGAUCUGUGCCAUCAUCCUCAUUCAGAGUCAAAGCAUGAUGGCCUUUCGAGUGGGUGGUGCUCUAGAAAGCCUACAGUCGCAAUACUUCAUGCUGAACCUCUGUUUUUCCAUGUUGACCUUUGAUCUUCAGGCACAGCUCUGCUUGUGUGUUCUGCUGAUAAGCCUGCAUGAGAUCACCCUUCUACAUAACAUCAUCUCGGCAGCAGGGGUGCUUUGGGCCUGCCUGAAGGUGACCAUUAGCAUCAUCGCAACCUGCCCUUCCAGUUCAGGACCGCUGAAAGUUGCUACCUGCCGGAAAGCAGUCCAUCGUUUCUUCUUUCCCAAGUCCCAAGAUCUUAAAAGAACUGAAACCUCUGGUGUGGAUUUUUCUGGGUCAGAAUAUACCUGAAGUAGUUUAUCUCAUCUACCUGCUUUACACGGUGAUAAGGGAGUGGGGCAAAGGGAAUUCUUACACUCUGGAAGCUGCUUUCAUUACCGGCUCUUGCAUUUCUGUUGCAAUAAAAUCUGUUUUGUUUUGGGCACUGAUUCAUGUCUACCGCAGCUUUGGGCAGGGGCUGAGAGAAAGAAUGUUUUCUUCCUAUGGAAGGAUCGACUCCUGAGCAUCCCCCUUGUGUUCUAUCUGCAGCUCUUACAGAGUGAAAUCGUAGUCGGGGAAGUUCUGAUCAAGUACUUGCAUUCAGGAUGUAAGACAAUGGGUCAGUUUCACAGAGGUAUAGGAAGUUGCUCAGAAAAACAUCUAUACAUUUCUUGGUUCCUAUCGUGCUAGGGAACUAUAGCAGCACAGCUGGUAACUUAGUUUAAAAAGCAAAGUGCUCUCGGGAAAUUAACAGUAAUCCUCUCGAUUCAGUGAGUUUUGCUGACAGGACAAUGCAUCUUUCACUCGUUGUUUUCCUGAUGUUGCUUUGUAACCGCAGGAGGUUCACAACAUGCAUGUGAGUAGAGAAUGUUGUUAAUAUAAAUGCUGUUUUUCUGGAUAUACACAAACAUAAUGAUAAUAAUUUGCACAUCCAUCUUACGUACCAGAGUCUAGAAGUGGAUUGCCCUACCAUCAUUUCUCAACUCCGACCUGUUGCUGAACAGAGGUCAAGCACUGAAGUUGUUUCGGUGACAGCUGUAUUCCCUGAUCUCCGCUAUGGCUGUGUGACGGCUUAACUCCAACAGAACGGCUAGGGCUCUUGUUCUGAAGUCAGAGGAGGAACAUUUCAAUUUUUUUUGUUUUUUUAAAUCCCAGCUACACAUGAAAACUACGCGAUGUAAUCUUAUGCCUUCCUAUAGUGUAUCUAACCAAUGUGCCAUUUCAUACACCAGGCUGACUGUUAAACUAAGCCUUUAAUAUUGCAAUUUAAAAGUUUGGUAUUUUAUUGAUUGGAACCUUUAGCUACUGGCUGUCUAUUUUUUAAUAAAGUAUAAACACAG
RNA transcript from Aquila chrysaetos chrysaetos, 2017 nucleotides. RefSeq lists it as uncharacterized. Lineage: Eukaryota; Metazoa; Chordata; Aves; Accipitriformes; Accipitridae. The transcript is spliced from 10 exons. The record is from RefSeq and is a predicted model, not a curated record.